GUGAAUCAUCGAAUUUUUGAACGCAAAUUGCACUCUCUGGCAUUCCGGAGAGUAUGCCUGUUUGAGGGUCAGUUUAAAUAAUAAUCGCGGUGUUGCCGUCUUGUGUCGCAUCGGAAUUGGGGUAUUUUUGACGUUUUAAAAAGUUUAAGUGACUUAAAAUUGAUAUCUUGUGUAUCUCGGAUGUACAUAAGAAUAUUUUUUCAUCCGUUUGGCGUUGUCAACUUUCUAUUAGGUAUGACCAUGCUGUCUGUGGUAGUGUACCUAUAAUAUACUC
RNAcentral lists this unclassified non-coding RNA (274 nucleotides) under Glomeraceae sp. RNAcentral's name for it is "partial contains 5.8S ribosomal RNA and internal transcribed spacer 2". The stretch from base 1 to 71 matches the Rfam family "5.8S ribosomal RNA", at positions 84 to 154 of the family's 154-position model. The record is from RNAcentral. Lineage: Eukaryota; Fungi; Glomeromycota; Glomeromycetes; Glomerales; Glomeraceae.